RNAcentral lists this small RNA (29 nucleotides) under Bombyx mori (domestic silkworm). RNAcentral describes it as "ovarian small RNA-9279". The record is from RNAcentral. Lineage: Eukaryota; Metazoa; Arthropoda; Insecta; Lepidoptera; Bombycidae.
UUAACUCGCAUAUACGACGUUUCAGGAUG